Molecule: long non-coding RNA, 730 nt
Organism: Spinacia oleracea (spinach)
Lineage: Eukaryota; Viridiplantae; Streptophyta; Magnoliopsida; Caryophyllales; Amaranthaceae
Exons: 4
Source: RefSeq, a predicted model, not a curated record
CUCCUUCAACUUCACGUGGAAAAGGAAAAAAAAACCCUCUAACCCACACCAAACAAGAAAAAUCACGUAUUGCUGUUUCACGUGAAAUUUCUCAAACCUCCUCCUUGCUUCAGCUUCCCGGAACCUCUGCGCCGUCACCUUCGGCCGCCUAACCACCGUCGGCGUUCCUCCCUUCUCCGUCGUUCCGCCGCGACCACCACCUCACGGCCUCCCUUGCCGCACCGCGCCGCCCAACUGUUGCAGCCUCCCUAUUCUUCCUGUCACGCACGCAGUCGCAGCCCCUUGCUUGCACAACCACCUCGGCGUGACUACCUUCAACCACCACCAUCAGCAAGCGUCGCCCAACCUCGGCGACCACCUGCACCGUCGUCGCGCAGCCCGCCGUCGGCCAGCUUCCCUCCUCUCUCCUUUGGCGGAGAAUUCUUUGUAGGCGACUUUUGAAUUAUUAAAGUGGUCUUGCAGUUUGUUUACACAAGUCUCUAAGGAUCAAUAAGCGUUGCCCAUCUACAGGUUUGAAGAUGAUGCAUCAUUGGGAUCGGGAUUAGAGAGCUUGUAGUUCUAUUCGUUUAAUUAAGUGAUUUAAUUUGUUAACUUGGAUUUGAAAUUUGUCGUACUAUUCGUAUUUCCUUAUUUCAUUUAAUUGGUUUUGGACCUAAUAUGUAAUAAGAUUACUUAUGAACCUAAAAGUUAGUUUUAUGUUUUCCGCUGCAAAAUUCUGAAUAAGCCGUAC